RNAcentral lists this long non-coding RNA (216 nucleotides) under Phoenix dactylifera (date palm). Its description in RNAcentral is "long non-coding RNA (PDAC_LNC009972)". The record is from RNAcentral. Lineage: Eukaryota; Viridiplantae; Streptophyta; Magnoliopsida; Arecales; Arecaceae.
AACGUAUUUUAAAACCAUUUAUAGAUAGAUUAGGAUUAAAUUCUUAUUAAAUCAUUUUAAAAUCAUGAUUAAGAAGAUCAGAUCUUCACCUUGUGCGGGUAGAUGGUCUCCGCAAAUAUGAUUCACAUGGUAUUUGAUGAGGGUUCAGUGGAAGCCGCACACGCGUCCGGCCUCUACGGGUAUCCACACGAAGUAGUGAGUCGAUCGAAGCCUUUG